GACGAACGCUGGCGGCGUGCUUAACACAUGCAAGUCGAACGGAAAGGCCCUGCUUUUGUGGGGUGCUCGAGUGGCGAACGGGUGAGUAACACGUGAGUAACCUGCCCUUGACUUUGGGAUAACUUCAGGAAACUGGGGCUAAUACCGGAUAGGAGCUCCUGCUGCAUGGUGGGGGUUGGAAAGUUUCGGCGGUUGGGGAUGGACUCGCGGCUUAUCAGCUUGUUGGUUGGGUAGUGGCUUACCAAGGCUUUGACGGGUAGCCGGCCUGAGAGGGGGACCGGCGACAUUGGGACUGAGAGACGGACCAGACUCGUACGGGAGGCAGCGGUGGGGAGUAUUGCACAGUGGGCGGAAGCCUGAUGCAGAAACGCCGCGUGCGGGAUGAAGGCCUUCGGGUUGUAAACCGCUUUCGCCUGUGACGAAGCGUGAGUGACGGUAAUGGGUAAAGAAGCACCGGCUAACUACGUG
This 468-nucleotide ribosomal RNA is filed under the name uncultured bacterium. RNAcentral's name for it is "partial 16S ribosomal RNA". It matches the Rfam family "Bacterial small subunit ribosomal RNA", at positions 28 to 507 of the family's 1533-position model. The record is from RNAcentral.